GGCGAACGCUGGCGGCGUGCCUAAACAUGCAAGUCGAGCGGGGGUUGGCCGCGGGGCAACCCGCGGUUUCAGCUCUAGCGGCGAACGGGUGAGUAACACGUGGGUAACCUGCCCCGAAGACGGGGACAACCUCGGGAAACCGGGGCUAAUACCCGAUACCCUCCCCUGGGGGCAUCCCUGGGGGAGGAAAGGGUUGGGCGCAAGCCCUUCCGCUUCGGGAUGGGCCCGCGGCCUAUCAGCUAGUUGGUGGGGUAACGGCCCACCAAGGCGAUGACGGGUAGCUGGCCUGAGAGGGUGGUCAGCCACACUGGGACUGAGACACGGCCCAGACUCCUACGGGAGGCAGCAUG
Molecule: ribosomal RNA, 350 nt
Filed under: uncultured bacterium
Lineage: Bacteria
Description: bacterial SSU rRNA
Rfam family: Bacterial small subunit ribosomal RNA
Source: RNAcentral